RNAcentral lists this long non-coding RNA (577 nucleotides) under Lonchura striata (white-rumped munia). Its description in RNAcentral is "domestica (Bengalese finch) lncRNA (ENSLSDG00000001855.1)". The record is from RNAcentral. Lineage: Eukaryota; Metazoa; Chordata; Aves; Passeriformes; Estrildidae.
CGCCAAAAAUGCGUGUUUAUGCCAAAAAAAUAGAUUGGCAUGGGCUCGCUGUCUGUGCCAGCACAGUCUGGCACAGGAACGGGGAUGGAUGGAGCCCCUGUGUCCUGGGUUGGGACUGGAGGGACCCCUGUGCCCAGGGAUGGACAGACCCCCUGUGUCCAUGGAAAGGAUGGACAGACUCCCUGUCCAUGGACAGGAUGGACAGACCCCCUUGUCCAUGGACAGGGAUGGACAGACCCCCUGUGUCCAUGGAUGGACAGACUCCCUGUGUCCAGGGAUGGACAGACCCCCUGUGUCCAUGGAAAGGAUGGACAGACUCCCUGUCCAAGGAAAGGAUGGACAGACUCCCUGUCCAUGGACAGGACGGACAGACUCCCUGUGCCCAAGGAUGGACAGACUCCCUGUCCAUGCACAGGACGGACAGACUCCCUGUCCAUGGAAAGGAUGGACAGACUCCCUGUCCAUGCACAGGACGGACAGACUCCCUGUCCAUGGAAAGGAUGGACAGACUCCCUGUCCAUGGACAGGACGGACAGACUCCUGUGUCUUUCCAAGCAGGAAUUACAAAGCCCUGCAG